Long non-coding RNA from Scaptodrosophila lebanonensis, 787 nucleotides. RefSeq lists it as uncharacterized. The transcript has 3 exons. Lineage: Eukaryota; Metazoa; Arthropoda; Insecta; Diptera; Drosophilidae. The record is from RefSeq and is a predicted model, not a curated record.
UCGAUACUUAUUAAUAUCGAUGGUUCAGCCCAGGAACAGCUGUGCUUGACCGGGACCAUUCACAAUGGACUCCCCGUCUAUUGAUAAUUUAUUUGCUGCUACGCAAAUAAAUAAAUAAAAGGCUCAACACUAGACAUGUAAGGGUGAGAUGAGGAUCCUCAGUAUGACGCUGCACCACGGCACGCAGUCACUGUAGAAGGCGCCUACUAAAAACUCAAAUCUUGCUCGGGCUAUGGCGAAUUGCUGCUCCUAUGCUCUGAUACGUAGGGCAACGAUGCUCCUUCCGCUUGGGACAGGACAUGGACCUACUACGCAACCAUUCAUAAGAACUACCAAACAACCACAAAAAAAAACGGUAACUAACACAAAAAAAACAUAAGGCAACUAUACUAUUCUUUACUUAACACCUGACAGACAUUACUCUCUAUCUUUCCAGCCUCAGAGCACCCUGUAGGGCAACAAUGAGUGGGCACCAAGACCCCUCACGGACCUGCUACACUCGCUCCUUCGCUGCGCCUAUUCUGCUGGUUACCAACCUACACCGCGCUGUAAGAAAGAUGCAACUGCGGCAACGAUGGGCUGAGCCCUAGUGAAGCUCACCCACGGACCUGGCAGUUGCACCGUUUCCCGCCAGCUCAGGGGCCGCCAGCAGCUAUUGCUGUUGAAAUUUACAUGUAAACACUAAAUAAAGAAUACAAAUCAACAAAAAAAACAAACAACAAGACUCUGGCUUUUAACUUCGCUUCGAACUGGGGCAACAUUUGCUAAAAUGUAGACCCAGGUGUAU